GGAAGGAUCAUUACCGAAACAAAAAAUCCACGAACGUCAGGCUCAUCGUCCGGGAGACCGGCGAUGGACCGAGAAAGCCUGCUCGAACUUGAUUUGAAAUGGUUUGAGAAUUUGGCUAUAACCAAGUCUUCCUUGCCCUGCGGGGCGAGGGAGCACUGUCUCUGACAAAUUUUGUAAACAAGCAAUAAAAUGAGAGAAAAAGACGAAUGAAACCUCGAGUGGUGGAUCACUCGGCUCGUGGGUCGAUGAAGAACGCAGCUAACUGCGUGCAGACGUGUGAACUGCAGGACACAUGAACACCGACAAUUUGAACGCACAUGGCGGCCUGAAAUAAAUUUCAGGCCAUGUCUGGCUGAGGGUCGGAAACUAGACUAAAACCAAGAUUGCUCAAGUGGCAGGUCCUUGGAGACUUGGCCGAGGAGCCGUAUCGCAGUGUACCCAGGCCUGCUAGAUGCACGUUGCAUGGAAAUUCACUUUGUGAUUGCAUAGCAUGGCACAUGACAGGGAGAGGGCACUAGCGCAUACGCAAGAGAGAGUGAGAGAAAUCUUACUCAAAGUUGCGACCUCAGAGCAGGCAAGAUUACCCGCUAAAUUUAAGCAUAUUAAUAAGCGGAGGAAAAGAAACUAACAAGGAUUUCCUUAGUAACGGCGAGCGAAAAGGAAAAAGUCCAGCGCUGAAUCUGGCAUCCCCCGGAUGUCAUGAAAUGUGGCGUUUGGGACGAAACUUUCCCUGUGCUUGAUGGUUAUCCAAGUCCCUCUUGAACGGGGCCAUCGCCCAUGGAGGGUGCCAGGCCCGUACGAUAACUUUGAUGCGCAGUGAGUUUUGUCCGUAGAGUCGGGUUGCUUGGGAGUGCAGCCCAAAUCAGGUGGUAAACUCCAUCUAAGACUAAAUAUGACCACGAGACCGAUAGCGAACAAGUACCGUGAGGGAAAGUUGAAAAGAACUUUGAAGAGAGAGUUAAAUAGUACGUGAAACCUCUCGGGGGUAAGCGGGCAGAACUUGCAAGUAUUGGUGGGAGACUCAGGCUCGGAGACUCUGACUGUAGGGGCAUGUUCAGGUUGAGCUUCGGCGAGACCGACUUGUUCCUGAGGAUUGGGGUCGACGCGCAGCAUUUCUCCUUGCCAUUCGGGCUACGCGCAACUAAGAUGGCAUUUUAGGUGCUGGGAGUCUGCAGAGGCACUUUGUGUUUCUGAGCCCUGGUUUCCGAUUGCCGCUGUGGUUGUUGUUGAACGCGAGCAGGCGUUUGCCGCGGUCAGUGCUUUGGACGAGUUGGGUGCGCGUGAUGUGUGGACGGUUUCGUAGCAUGUUACGCGUACUAGUUGUCGGUCUGAGGUAUUCUGGCCCUGCUCAUUUACCGUAGCCUAAAACCUGUGUGGUCUGCCUGUCCCGUCUUGAAACACGGACCAAGGAGUCUAACAUGUACGCGAGUCAUUGGGAAGAGAAACUCAAAGGCGUAAUGAAAGUGAAGAUUCGUGUAUACGAAUUGAGGAGAGAUCAAGGCAUGACUUGAGAUACUGAAAAGUUUAGCGAGUUGAAUGUAUGCGCAUCUCCUGGACGUCUAUACCUUCGAAGGUGGGGCGUACCUAGAGCGUACACGUUGGGACCCGAAAGAUGGUGAACUAUGCCUGGUCAGAACGAAGCCAGGGGAAACCCUGGUGGAGGUUCGUAGCGAUUCUGACGUGCAAAUCGAUCGUCGGAACUGGGUAUAGGGGCGAAAGACUAAUCGAACCAUCUAGUAGCUGGUUCCUUC
This 1751-nucleotide unclassified non-coding RNA is filed under the name Collembola environmental sample. RNAcentral's name for it is "sequence contains 18S rRNA gene, ITS1, 5.8S rRNA gene, ITS2, 28S rRNA gene". The stretch from base 561 to 1751 matches the Rfam family "Eukaryotic large subunit ribosomal RNA", at positions 1 to 961 of the family's 3401-position model. Lineage: Eukaryota; Metazoa; Arthropoda; Collembola. The record is from RNAcentral.